CAAAAACAACAGAUCAUUGUGUAAGCCACCUCUGCUGUAAAAACCCGAGUCAUUGUACGGUGGCGUGACUGGUAGAGAUAUAUUUAAAUCCCUCUGGCAAACGGAGCUAAUCUAAACCGUGAUGCGAGCCAAUGACAUUUUAGGUAAAUUGACGAUGACGGAGAAACGGGGUUGAACGACACAAUGAGUGAUCUAUUUGACUGUUUUCAUCUCUGGAUAUGUGACCGGGGAGUUUAUUUUAGCAUCCUUUAUUUAACUAGGCAAGUCAGUUAUUAACGACACGUUCUUAUUUACAAUCACGGCCUACUCCGGCCAAACCCGGACGACGCUGGGCCAAUUGUGCGCCGCCCCUUGGGACUCCUACUCACGGCCGGAUGUGAUACAGCCUGGAUUCGAACCAGGACCUGAGCCCUAGGACCAUGCCCCAGGACUACCUGACAUGAUGACUCCUUGCUGUCCCCAGUCCACGUGACCGUGCUGCUGCUCCAGUUUCAACUGUUCUGCCUUAUUAUUAUUCGACCAUGCUGGUCAUUUAUGAACAUUUGAACAUCUUGGCCAUGUUCUGUUAUAAUCUCUACCUGGCACAGCCAGAAGAGGACUGGCCACCCCACAUAUGCUCUCUCUAAUUCUCUCUUUCUUUCUCUCUCUCGGAGGACCUGAGCCCUAGGACCAUGCCCCAGGACUACCUGACAUGAUGACUCCUUGCUGUCCCCAGUCCACCUGACCGUGCUGCUGCUCCAGUUUCAACUGUUCUGCCUUAUUAUUAUACGACCAUGCUGGUCAUUUAUGAACAUUUGAACAUCUUGGCCAUGUUCUGUUAUAAUCUCCACCCGGAACAGCCAGAAGAGGACUGGCCACCCCACAUAGCCUGGUUCCUCUCUAGGUUUCUUCCUAGGUUUUGGCCUUUCUAGGGAGUUUUUCCUAGCCACCGUGCUUCUACACCUGCAUUGCUUGCUGUUUGGGGUUUUAGGCUGGGUUUCUGUACAGCACUUUGAGAUAUCAGCUGAUGUACUAAGGGCUAUAUAAAUAAAUUUGAUUUGAUUUGAUUUGGUUUAACACCAGGGGUUUAACACCAGGGGGUUUAACACCAAGGCAUUUAACACCAGGGGGUUUAACACCAAAGGGGUUUAACACCAGGGGGUUUAACACCAAGGGAUUUAACACCAGGGGGUUUAACACCAAGGGAUUUAACAGCAAGGGGUUUAACACCAGGGGGUUUAACACCAGGGAAUUUAACACCAGGGGAUUUAACACCAGGGGAUUUAACACCAAUGGAUUUACCACCAGGGAGUUUAACACCAGGGGAUUUAACACCAAUGGAUUUACCACCAGGGGGUUUAACACCAGGGGAUUUAACACCAGGGGU
Oncorhynchus tshawytscha (Chinook salmon) is the source of this 1366-nucleotide long non-coding RNA. The record is from Ensembl. Lineage: Eukaryota; Metazoa; Chordata; Actinopteri; Salmoniformes; Salmonidae.